Molecule: long non-coding RNA, 229 nt
Filed under: Medicago truncatula (barrel medic)
Lineage: Eukaryota; Viridiplantae; Streptophyta; Magnoliopsida; Fabales; Fabaceae
Description: long non-coding RNA (MTRU_LNC008180)
Source: RNAcentral
CGUUCUUCACCACUUUUAUCAACUCUUCUAGAUGGUUCUUUCUAGAUUCUCUUUUGUAAUACCAUUGUCUUCUCACUGAAGAAUUACCUUCGCCAUUGUUUUUUGUUAUGUGCAAACUCAAACUUAUAUGAAACAAAAUUUGUUACCUAUAAUAAUGGUUUCAUAGAAAGUUAAAAUUUUAUAAAUAAGAUCAUUAACAUUCUUAAAAAUUACAAGUACAAAAUAGAAG